RNAcentral lists this ribosomal RNA (883 nucleotides) under Bacillus subtilis. Its description in RNAcentral is "bacterial SSU rRNA". It matches the Rfam family "Bacterial small subunit ribosomal RNA", at positions 54 to 916 of the family's 1533-position model. The record is from RNAcentral. Lineage: Bacteria; Bacillati; Bacillota; Bacilli; Caryophanales; Bacillaceae.
CAUGCAGUCGAGCGGACAGAUGGGAGCUUGCUCCCUGAUGUUAGCGGCGGACGGGUGAGUAACACGUGGGUAACCUGCCUGUAAGACUGGGAUAACUCCGGGAAACCGGGGCUAAUACCGGAUGGUUGUUUGAACCGCAUGGUUCAAACAUAAAAGGUGGCUUCGGCUACCACUUACAGAUGGACCCGCGGCGCAUUAGCUAGUUGGUGAGGUAACGGCUCACCAAGGCGACGAUGCGUAGCCGACCUGAGAGGGUGAUCGGCCACACUGGGACUGAGACACGGCCCAGACUCCUACGGGAGGCAGCAGUAGGGAAUCUUCCGCAAUGGACGAAAGUCUGACGGAGCAACGCCGCGUGAGUGAUGAAGGUUUUCGGAUCGUAAAGCUCUGUUGUUAGGGAAGAACAAGUACCGUUCGAAUAGGGCGGUACCUUGACGGUACCUAACCAGAAAGCCACGGCUAACUACGUGCCAGCAGCCGCGGUAAUACGUAGGUGGCAAGCGUUGUCCGGAAUUAUUGGGCGUAAAGGGCUCGCAGGCGGUUUCUUAAGUCUGAUGUGAAAGCCCCCGGCUCAACCGGGGAGGGUCAUUGGAAACUGGGGAACUUGAGUGCAGAAGAGGAGAGUGGAAUUCCACGUGUAGCGGUGAAAUGCGUAGAGAAUGUGGAGGAACACCAGUGGCGAAGGCGACUCUCUGGUCUGUAACUGACGCUGAGGAGCGAAAGCGUGGGGAGCGAACAGGAUUAGAUACCCUGGUAGUCCACGCCGUAAACGAUGAGUGCUAAGUGUUUAGGGGGGUUUCCGCCCCUUAGUGCUGCAGCUAACGCAUUAAGCACUCCGCCUGGGGAGUACGGUCGCAAGACUGAAACUCAAAGGAAUUGACGG